Molecule: ribosomal RNA, 242 nt
Filed under: Chaetoceros curvisetus
Lineage: Eukaryota; Bacillariophyta; Thalassiosirophyceae; Chaetocerotales; Chaetocerotaceae
Description: partial Bacterial small subunit ribosomal RNA
Rfam family: Bacterial small subunit ribosomal RNA
Source: RNAcentral
ACGUCAAGUCCUCAUGGCCCUUAUAGGUGGGGCUACACACGUCAUACAAUGGCUGGUACAGAGGGUUGCCAACCCGCGAGGGGGAGCUAAUCCCAUAAAGCCAGUCGUAGUCCGGAUCGCAGUCUGCAACUCGACUGCGUGAAGUCGGAAUCGCUAGUAAUCGUGGAUCAGAAUGCCACGGUGAAUACGUUCCCGGGCCUUGUACACACCGCCCGUCACACCAUGGGAGUGGGUUGCACCAG